CGAAGCGCAGUACCGGACGAGGUGCCGAGAAAAGCCCCUCCGUAUGCUAAGGAACCCGUACCGCAAACCGACACAGGUGGGUGGGUAGAAUAUACCAAGGCGCAAGAGUGAACCCUGGUUAAGGAACUCGGCAAAUUAGCCCCGUAACUUCGGAAAAAGGGGUGCCAUGGCAACAUGGCCGCAGAGAAAUGGCCCAACCGACUGUUUAUCAAAAACACAGCACUCUGCCAAGACGCAAGUCAACGUAUAGGGUGUGACACGUGACCAAUGCCGAAAGAUUAAGGCGAGCGGUUAGCCGCAAGGCGAAGCUGUAAACCCAAGUCCCGGUGAAUGUCGGCCGUAACUAUAACGGUCCUAAGGUAGCGAAAUUCCUUGUCGGGUAAGUUCCGACCUGCACGAAUCGUGAAACGAGUUGGGCACUGUCUCAACCGGGCGCUCAGUGAAAUUGUAACGCCGGUGAAGAUGCCGGCCACCCGCAGAAGGACGGAAAGACCCUAUAGACCUUAACUGUAAGCUGUCAUUGUUUCUUCGGUUCCGAUGCUCAGAGUAAGUGGGAGACGCUGAGGUGACCCUUUAGGGGGCCACUGAGUCAUCAAUGAGACACCACCCUUCGGAACUGGAGGAUCUAACUUCGCGCCUUGAAUCAGGCAGAAGGACCGUGUCAGCCGGUCAGUUUUACUGGGGCGGUAUCCUCCCAAACAGUAACGGAGGAGUGCGAAGGUGGGCUCAACCCGGAUGGCAACCGGGUGUCGAGUGCAUGGGCAUAAGCCCGCCUAACUGUGAGACCGACAAGUCGAGCAGAUGCGAAAGCAGGCCCAAGUGAUCCGGCGGGAGAGAGUGGAAUCCCCGUCGCUCAACGGAUAAAAGGUACCUUAGGGAUAACAGGCUGAUCACGCCCAAGAGUUCAUAUCGACGGCGUGGUUUGGCACCUCGAUGUCGGCUCGUCGCAUCCUGGGGCUGGAGAAGGUCCCAAGGGUCCGGCUGUUCGCCGGUUAAAGCGGCACGCGAGCUGGGUUCAGAACGUCGCGAGACAGUUCGGUCCUCUAUCCUCUGUGGGCGUUGGAGAAUUGAGGGGUUCAGACCUUAGUACGAGAGGACCGGGUCUGACGCACCACUGGUGCACCGGUUGUUCCGUCAGGAGCACGGCCGGGUAGCUAAGUGCGGAAGGAAUAAGCGCUGAAAGCAUCUAAGCGCCAAGUCCCUCCCAAGAUGAGUUCUCCCUACAGGAGCGUGGAAGACGACCACGUUGAUAGGGUGCAGGUGUAAUUGCAGCAAUGUAUUGAGCCGAGCACUACUAACAUCCAAUAGACCUCUUUCAC
This 1319-nucleotide ribosomal RNA is filed under the name human gut metagenome. RNAcentral describes it as "bacterial LSU rRNA". It matches the Rfam family "Bacterial large subunit ribosomal RNA", at positions 1584 to 2925 of the family's 2925-position model. The record is from RNAcentral.